Molecule: ribosomal RNA, 465 nt
Filed under: uncultured Klebsiella sp.
Lineage: Bacteria; Pseudomonadati; Pseudomonadota; Gammaproteobacteria; Enterobacterales; Enterobacteriaceae
Description: bacterial SSU rRNA
Rfam family: Bacterial small subunit ribosomal RNA
Source: RNAcentral
CCUACGGGAGGCUGCAGUGGGGAAUAUUGCACAAUGGGCGCAAGCCUGAUGCAGCCAUGCCGCGUGUGUGAAGAAGGCCUUCGGGUUGUAAAGCACUUUCAGCGGGGAGGAAGGCGUUAAGGUUAAUAACCUUGGCGAUUGACGUUACCCGCAGAAGAAGCACCGGCUAACUCCGUGCCAGCAGCCGCGGUAAUACGGAGGGUGCAAGCGUUAAUCGGAAUUACUGGGCGUAAAGCGCACGCAGGCGGUCUGUCAAGUCGGAUGUGAAAUCCCCGGGCUCAACCUGGGAACUGCAUUCGAAGCUGGCAGGCUAGAGUCUUGUAGAGGGGGGGAGAAUUCCAGGUGUAGCGGUGAAAUGCGUAGAGAUCUGGAGGAAUACCGGUGGCGAAGGCGGCCCCCUGGACAAAGACUGACGCUCAGGUGCGAAAGCGUGGGGAGCAAACAGGAUUAGAUACCCUUGUAGUC